Malassezia obtusa is the source of this 79-nucleotide non-coding RNA. Lineage: Eukaryota; Fungi; Basidiomycota; Malasseziomycetes; Malasseziales; Malasseziaceae. The record is from the annotation of a GenBank genome assembly.
GUUCCGGUAGCUCAGGGGUAGAGCGGCAGAUUGCAAAUUGAUCAUCUGCAGGUCGUGCGUUCGAAUCGCGCCCGGAACU